GCCAGUGGCGAUCACACUAGUUUAAUCUAUCAAGACUAGUUUCUCACUGAAGCUGGGAGGUACCUGGUCAGUAUCUGGAUGGGAGACCACAUGGGAAAUCUUGGUUGCUGUUGGAA
This 116-nucleotide ribosomal RNA is filed under the name Danio rerio (zebrafish). The record is from RNAcentral. Lineage: Eukaryota; Metazoa; Chordata; Actinopteri; Cypriniformes; Danionidae.